CCUACGGGAGGCAGCAGUGGGGAAUAUUGGGCAAUGGGCGCAAGCCUGACCCAGCAACGCCGCGUGAAGGAAGAAGGCUUUCGGGUUGUAAACUUCUUUUGUCAGGGAAGAGUAGAAGACGGUACCUGACGAAUAAGCCACGGCUAACUACGUGACAGCAGCCGCGGUAAUCCGUAGGUGACAAGCGUUGUCCGGAUUUACUGGGUGUAAAGGGCGUGUAGCCGGGUUGACAAGUAAGAUGUGAAAUCCUGCGGCUUAACCGCAGAACUGCAUUUGACACUGUUUAUCUUGAGUACUGGAGAGGCAGGUGGAAUUCCUUGUGUAGCGGUGAAAUGCGUAGAUAUUAGGAGGAACACUAGUGGCGAAGGCGGUCUGCUGGACAGCAACUGACGGUGAGGCGCGAAAGCGUGGGGAGCAAACAGGAUUAGAUACCCGGGUAGUC
This 442-nucleotide ribosomal RNA is filed under the name uncultured bacterium. Its description in RNAcentral is "partial 16S ribosomal RNA". It matches the Rfam family "Bacterial small subunit ribosomal RNA", at positions 338 to 795 of the family's 1533-position model. The record is from RNAcentral.